CUUGGUCAUUUAGAGGAAGUAAAAGUCGUAACAAGGUCUCCGUUGGUGAACCAGCGGAGGGAUCAUUACCGAGUUUACAACUCCCAAACCCCUGUGAACAUACCUAUACGUUGCCUCGGCGGAUCAGCCCGCGCCCCGUAAAAAGGGACGGCCCGCCCGAGGACCCUAAACUCUGUUUUUAGUGGAACUUCUGAGUAAAACAAACAAAUAAAUCAAAACUUUCAACAACGGAUCUCUUGGUUCUGGCAUCGAUGAAGAACGCAGCAAAAUGCGAUAAGUAAUGUGAAUUGCAGAAUUCAGUGAAUCAUCGAAUCUUUGAACGCACAUUGCGCCCGCCAGUAUUCUGGCGGGCAUGCCUGUUCGAGCGUCAUUUCAACCCUCAAGCUCAGCUUGGUGUUGGGACUCGCGGUAACCCGCGUUCCCCAAAUCGAUUGGCGGUCACGUCGAGCUUCCAUAGCGUAGUAAUCAUACACCUCGUUACUGGUAAUCGUCGCGGCCACGCCGUAAAACCCCAACUUCUGAAUGUUGACCUCGGAUCAGGUAGGAAUACCCGCUGAACUUAAGCAUAUCAAUAAGCGGAGGA
Molecule: ribosomal RNA, 583 nt
Filed under: uncultured fungus
Lineage: Eukaryota; Fungi
Description: eukaryotic LSU rRNA
Rfam family: 5.8S ribosomal RNA (bases 217-370)
Source: RNAcentral